This 265-nucleotide signal recognition particle RNA is filed under the name Candidatus Zixiibacteriota bacterium. Its description in RNAcentral is "Bacterial large signal recognition particle RNA". It matches the Rfam family "Bacterial large signal recognition particle RNA". From Rfam's summary of the family: The signal recognition particle (SRP) is a universally conserved ribonucleoprotein involved in the co-translational targeting of proteins to membranes. Archaeal SRP consists of a 7S RNA and homologues of the eukaryotic SRP19 and SRP54 proteins. In most bacteria, the SRP consists of a 4.5S RNA and the Ffh protein (a homologue of the eukaryotic SRP54 protein). The record is from Rfam by way of RNAcentral. Lineage: Bacteria; Pseudomonadati; Candidatus Zixiibacteriota.
GUGUGCUAGACGGGGAAGUAGCGGCGCCCUGUAGCCCGGAAUCCGCUCCACCGGGGUCGAAUCCCACCAGCGGACCGAACCAUUUUUUGUGUCGAUAAAGCAAGCGGCGUCGAAGGUCAGGCCCUGUACAAUGGCGACGCACCGAAUCCCGCCAGGACCGGAAGGUAGCAACGGUAGGUGAUGCUCGGUAUGUGUUGCGGGAUCGCCGGACUGGAGCCGGCUACUUUGGAAACCUUGAACUGGAGGGACAAUGGUGGGUGCACAC